AUUGAACGCUGGCGGCAUGCCUUACACAUGCAAGUCGAACGGUAACAGGUCUUCGGAUGCUGACGAGUGGCGAACGGGUGAGUAAUACAUCGGAACGUGCCCGAUCGUGGGGGAUAACGAAGCGAAAGCUUUGCUAAUACCGCAUAAGAUCUAAGGAUGAAAGCAGGGGACCGCAAGGCCUUGCGCGAACGGAGCGGCCGAUGGCAGAUUAGGUAGUUGGUGGGAUAAAAGCUUACCAAGCCGACGAUCUGUAGCUGGUCUGAGAGGACGACCAGCCACACUGGGACUGAGACACGGCCCAGACUCCUACGGGAGGCAGCAGUGGGGAAUGUUGGACAAUGGGCGAAAGCCUGAUCCAGCCAUGCCGCGUGCAGGAUGAAGGCCUUCGGGUUGUAAACUGCUUUUGUACGGAACGAAAAGACUCUUUCUAAUAAAGAGGGUCCAUGACGGUACCGUAAGAGUAAGCACCGGCUAACUACGUGCCAGCCGCCGCAGUAA
Molecule: ribosomal RNA, 498 nt
Filed under: uncultured bacterium
Lineage: Bacteria
Description: partial 16S ribosomal RNA
Rfam family: Bacterial small subunit ribosomal RNA
Source: RNAcentral